CAAGAUGGCUACGGCAGGGGGUGGCUCUGUGGCUGACCCGGGAAGUCGGGGUCUCCUUCGCCUUCUGUCUUUCUGCGUCCUACUAGCAGGCCUCUUCCUGGACUUCGAGCCUGACCCUCUCCCACUUUGUCCAGAUGUCUCGUUUUUCCCACAACCCCAGCCACCCACCCCACAGUCGAAAGGAACAGGUGUGAAAGUUAGCUUUCUUCCUCGCGUUUAGACUUUUUGAGACGAAAGCAAUCUUGUUCUGUGGGUGCUGUGCGGCGCUUAAAAGGUUUGUGCAGGGGAAACUCAGUGGAGAGGAAGAUAUAUAUCCCCUUAAAUAAAACAGCUCCCUGUGUUCGCCUGCUCAACGCCACUCAUCAGAUUGGCUGCCAGUCUUCAAUUAGUGGAGACACAGGGGUUAUCCACGUAGUAGAGAAAGAAGAGGACCUACAGUGGGUAUUGACUGAUGGCCCCAACCCCCCUUACAUGGUUCUGCUGGAGAGCAAGCAUUUUACCAGGGAUUUAAUGGAGAAGCUGAAAGGGAGAACCAGCCGAAUUGCUGGUCUUGCAGUGUCCUUGACCAAGCCCAGUCCUGCCUCAGGCUUCUCUCCUAGUGUGCAGUGCCCAAAUGAUGGGUUUGGUGUUUACUCCAAUUCCUAUGGGCCAGAGUUUGCUCACUGCAGAGAAAUACAGUGGAACUCGCUGGGCAAUGGUUUGGCUUAUGAAGACUUUAGUUUCCCC
RNAcentral lists this small RNA (726 nucleotides) under Pan troglodytes (chimpanzee). RNAcentral describes it as "processed transcript". Lineage: Eukaryota; Metazoa; Chordata; Mammalia; Primates; Hominidae. The record is from RNAcentral.